Molecule: ribosomal RNA, 253 nt
Filed under: uncultured bacterium
Lineage: Bacteria
Description: partial 16S ribosomal RNA
Rfam family: Bacterial small subunit ribosomal RNA
Source: RNAcentral
UACGGAGGGUGCGAGCGUUGUCCGGAAUCACUGGGCGUAAAGGGCGCGUAGGCGGCCUGAUAAGUAGGGGGUGAAAUCCUGCGGCUUAACCGCAGGGCUGCCUUCUAAACUGUCAGGCUAGAGCACAGUAGAGGCAGGUGGAAUUCCCGGUGUAGCGGUGGAAUGCGUAGAGAUCGGGAAGAACAUCAGUGGCGAAGGCGACGUGCUGGGUUGCACCUGACGCUGAGAUGCGAAAGUGUGGGGAGCAAACGGG